UACGUAGGGGGCGAGCGUUGUCCGGAUUUAUUGGGCGUAAAGAGCUCGUAGGCGGCUUGGCAAGUCGGGUGUGAAACCUCCAGCUCAACCUGGAGACGCCACUCGAUACUGCCAUGGCUAGAGUCCGGUAGGGGACCACGGAAUUCCUGGUGUAGCGGUGAAAUGACGCAGAUAUCAGGAGGAACACCGGUGGCGAAGGCGGUGGUCUGGGCCGGCACUGACGCUGAGGAGCGAAAGCGUGGGUAGCAAACAGG
Molecule: ribosomal RNA, 254 nt
Filed under: uncultured bacterium
Lineage: Bacteria
Description: partial 16S ribosomal RNA
Rfam family: Bacterial small subunit ribosomal RNA
Source: RNAcentral